AUACUUACCUUGACGGGGUGAAUGGGUGAUCAAGAAGGCCCAUAGCCUAGGUUGGUGACUUCCAUUGCACAAAGGAGGGGUUUUCCGCCUAUCAUAUCCCCAAGUGGGAGACUGUACGUCAUAAUUUGUUGCAGCGGGGGUACGCGUUCGCGCGGCCCCUA
RNAcentral lists this small nuclear RNA (161 nucleotides) under Nelumbo nucifera (sacred lotus). RNAcentral describes it as "U1 spliceosomal RNA". It matches the Rfam family "U1 spliceosomal RNA". Rfam says of the family: U1 is a small nuclear RNA (snRNA) component of the spliceosome (involved in pre-mRNA splicing). Its 5' end forms complementary base pairs with the 5' splice junction, thus defining the 5' donor site of an intron. There are significant differences in sequence and secondary structure between metazoan and yeast U1 snRNAs, the latter being much longer (568 nucleotides as compared to 164 nucleotides in human). The record is from Rfam by way of RNAcentral. Lineage: Eukaryota; Viridiplantae; Streptophyta; Magnoliopsida; Proteales; Nelumbonaceae.